Molecule: ribosomal RNA, 253 nt
Filed under: uncultured bacterium
Lineage: Bacteria
Description: partial 16S ribosomal RNA
Rfam family: Bacterial small subunit ribosomal RNA
Source: RNAcentral
UACGUAGGUGGCAAGCGUUGUCCGGAUUUAUUGGGCGUAAAGCGAGCGCAGGCGGUUCCUGAAGUCUGAUGUGAAAGCCCCCGGCUCAACCGGGGAGGGUCAUUGGAAACUGGGGAACUUGAGUGCAGAAGAGGGAAGUGGAAUUCCAUGUGUAGCGGUGAAAUGCGUAGAUAUAUGGAGGAACACCAGUGGCGAAGGCGACUCUCUGGUCUGUAACUGACGCUGAGGCUCGAAAGCGUGGGGAGCAAACGGG